UGGAUGAUGUGGUUUAAUUCGAUGCAACGCGAAAACCUUACCCACCUUUGACAUGUACGGAAUCCUUUAGAGAUAGAGGAGUGCUCGAAAGAGAGCCGUAACACAGGUGCUGCAUGGCUGUCGUCAGCUCGUGUCGUGAGAUGUUGGGUUAAGUCCCGCAACGAGCGCAACCCUUGUCAUUAGUUGCUACAUUCAGUUGGGCACUCUAAUGAGACUGCCGGUGACAAACCGGAGGAAGGUGGGGAUGACGUCAAGUCCUCAUGGCCCUUAUAGGUGGGGCUACACACGUCAUACAAUGGAUGGUACAAAGGGUCGCCAACCCGCGAGGGGGAGCUAAUCCCAUAAAGCCAUUCGUAGUCCGGAUCGCAGUCUGCAACUCGACUGCGUGAAGUCGGAAUCGCUAGUAAUCGCAGGUCAGCAUACUGCGGUCGAAUACGUUCCCGGGCCUU
RNAcentral lists this ribosomal RNA (449 nucleotides) under uncultured Acidovorax sp. RNAcentral describes it as "bacterial SSU rRNA". It matches the Rfam family "Bacterial small subunit ribosomal RNA", at positions 933 to 1382 of the family's 1533-position model. Lineage: Bacteria; Pseudomonadati; Pseudomonadota; Betaproteobacteria; Burkholderiales; Comamonadaceae. The record is from RNAcentral.